RNAcentral lists this unclassified non-coding RNA (1097 nucleotides) under Hevea brasiliensis (rubber tree). Lineage: Eukaryota; Viridiplantae; Streptophyta; Magnoliopsida; Malpighiales; Euphorbiaceae. The record is from RNAcentral.
GAAUUAAUUGAAUUCAAUAACCAAUGGCGGAUGCUAGCAAAAAGAGGGACAUUGGAUGAAAUUAUGACACUCAAGGAGCGACGAAAGAUUCGGUCACUUGUAACUUUUGUGGGAGUACUUUUAAUGGUGGAAUAAUUCGACACAAACAACAUUUAGUGGGUGAUUUCCAGAAUGUUAAACAAUGUGCCGCUUGUCCGUCGGAAAUUAGAGAAGAAAUAAGGGCUUAUAUGCAAAACAAAAUAGCUAAUAAUCCCAAAUUUCAAAUGAGGCAACCGGAAGAAUUUGUUGAUAUUGAUGAUCUUGAUGAAAUGGAUGAUUAUGCGGAAAUGAGGCCUCCCUCCAAAACUCAAAGGAUAUCUUCUAGUGGAGGUUCAUCCACCGCACAGAGUGUGAUGAAAGGACCUUUGAACCUCUAUUUUUCACAAAAAUCAACACAAAAAGGAGGCUUAGAAAAAGGAGGAGGAAUCGAAGAAACAAAGAAAAUUCUAAGAGAGCGUGCGGUAAGUGCUUUUGCAAUUUGGAUGUAUGAUGCCGGGCUCCCUUUUAAUUGCGUCAACCACAAAUCAUUCGAUAAAUUUAUUGAGGCGGUUGGACAACAUGGCCCCGGAAUGAAGCCUCCUACAUUCCAUGAAGUUAGAGUCACUCACCUUAAAAAAGAGGUGGAUAAAGUAGAAAAAAUUGUUGAGGAGCAUAAAGUGCAAUGGACAAAGUUUGGUUGUUCCAUUAUGAUGGACAAAUGGACGGCACGAAAUGGCAAAAUGAUCAUCAAUAUUUUGGUGAAUUGUCCAAUCGGUAGUGUAUUUCUUGGUUCGGUUGAUGCUAGCAAUGAAUCUACCGAUUCCACCAAAAUGUACAAGUUAUUUGAAAGCACUAUCGAAAGAAUUGGACCGGAAAAAGUGGUACAAAUUGUCACCGAUAAUGCUAGUGAGAAUGUCAAAGCGGGAAGUAUGAUAAUGGGUGCGUAUCCACACAUUUAUUGGACUCCAUGUGCCGCUCAUUGCAUCAACUUGAUAUUUGGUGACAUAUUCAAGGUUAAGCCAUAUGCUUCCGUUUUUAAGAAGGCCAUCAGAAUCCAUUCUUACAUUAGUCAAAGGCCG